GAGAGAGAGAGAGAGAGAGAGAGAGUCCUGAUGUCAUAUUAGAGACUAAUCCUGCUACACUGUGUGUGUGUGUGUGUGUGUGUGUGUGUGUGUGUGUGUGUGUGUGUGUGUGUGUGUGUGUGUGUCAGAGAGAGCGGACAUCUGUAAACAGCACUAACACACACACUAACACAUGCAAACGCACACUCCAGACUCUUGUUUACUUCUGUCUACAGGUGUAUAGAUGUACGAUAUAUAGAUAUAUAGAUGUAUAGAUGUCUUUCUUCUUCUCUCAGGGUUCAGGUCUUUCUUUUCUCAGGGUUCAGGUCUUUCUUUUCUCAGGGUUCAGGUCUUUCCUCUGUCCUCAGGGUUCAGGUCUUUCUUUUCUCAGGGUUCAGGUCUUUCCUCUGUCCUCAGGGUUCAGGUCUUUCCUCUGUCCUCAGGGUUCAGGUCUUUCUUCUGUCCUCAGGGUUCAGGUCUUUCCUCUCUCAGGGUUCAGGUCUUUCUUCUCUCAGGGUUCAGGUCUUUCCUCUGUCCUCAGGGUUCAGGUCUUUCCUCUGUCCUCAGGGUUCAGGUCUUUCUUCUGUCCUCAGGGUUCAGGUCUUUCCUCUCUCAGGGUUCAGGUCUUUCUUUUCUCAGGGUUCAGGUCUUUCCUCUGUCCUCAGGGUUCAGGUCUUUCCUCUGUCCUCAGGGUUCAGGUCUUUCUUCUGUCCUCAGGGUUCAGGUCUUUCCUCUCUCAGGGUUCAGGUCUUUCUUCUGUCCUCAGGGUUCAGGUCUUUCCUCUGUCCUCAGGGUUCAGGUCUUUCUUCUCUCAGGGUUCAGGUCUUUCUUCUGUCCUCAGGGUUCAGGUCUUUCCUCUCUCAGGUGUUAAAUCUUGUAGUUCCUCACAAAGUCCUCAGAUACUGAUUAACAGGACCCCCCCCCCAGGAUCUAAAUUUAGCCCCCUGAGCCCGGGGCCCUCUGAGGCCCUGUAUGGGGCCCUGCGUUGGGUCUCUCCACCAUGAGGACAGGGUUUAAUAAGUAAACAGGAGCGGCAGGGUCUGGUCCUCCUGAUCAGGUCUUAUUAGCCCGGCCCCCCGGUCCCCCCGGCCCCCCGGUCCUCCUGGCCCCCCGGUCCUCCUCGCUCUGAGCUGAUUAGUCCUGCUGAUAGUUCUCUGUAAUUGCAGAGUCCUGACCCCCUCCAGGCAAAUAUUAGAUUUUAGUGGUUUAACCUCUGUGAGCAGAUGUGAUGGAGCCCAGCGGUGGUCCUCCUCCUCCUCG
Non-coding RNA from Xyrichtys novacula (pearly razorfish), 1239 nucleotides. The record is from the annotation of a GenBank genome assembly. NCBI's taxonomy places the organism in Eukaryota, Metazoa, Chordata, Actinopteri, Labriformes, Labridae.